This 1281-nucleotide long non-coding RNA is filed under the name Helianthus annuus (common sunflower). The record is from RNAcentral. Lineage: Eukaryota; Viridiplantae; Streptophyta; Magnoliopsida; Asterales; Asteraceae.
UUUGACUCUUGACAAGCUAGAUGGAGGCUUGGGGAAAGAAGCGGGUCAAACGGAUCGUAUACGCGGAAAAGAGCAUAAUCCGGAUACUAGGAAUAAAUAUCGAUUGAAUGUUGACAUCGCUAUUACUUAGCGGCUACUAAGGCAAGGUAUCGAAACGGGUCAAUAUAUUGAUCCGAGCCAGGUUUGUAUAAUGAUUCAACUCGUCAUGUAGAACUUGAGGUUCUAUAAGUGUUAGACAAGGAUAAAAUAUAGAUAUUCGGUUAUCAUUAAGGUAAACCGAAUAAAUUGGGUCAUGAUUAUGGUAUUUUAGAAAUAUAAUGGUUUCUAAACAAGAUUAUAGUUUUAAAAGUGAGAUUUUGGUCGAACAUGGCUUUAAAGGUCCUUCGUCGUAAUAGGAGGGGUAAAAGUGACCAAAAUGCUUUUAUAAGUGAAAUUAAGCAAACGAUCCCUAAAGGUUGCUUAGAAAUGAGUUUUGUAACCAAAUAGAUACUUGUAUUAAGUAUAAAAAGUGAAAUAUGUGAAUCUUUGGGUCAAAUGACUCUAUAUGAGUCUUUGCCGUAAAAUGAUAAUCCGAGGGGUAAAACUCGGAAUAAAUAGAUCUCCACAUUAAAUCCUCCACACAUAUAGUUGUGGUGGAAGAUAAAUUGAUAAAUAAUAUGGAAGUACAAUGCUAGAAGUGAAUGGGUAUGAAUUAUGCGGUAAAAGUGCUUAAAUACCCUUAACGGGUCAAAAUAAGCUUCUAAGUCAAAACGGGUUAAAGAAGGUAUACAAACCCGUGAUUUUGAGCCUAAUAUAAUAGGAGAUAUUGAAAUUAUGAAGUUCAUGGGUUUAAAGAUCAAAUAGGCAUGUUUGUUUGAUAAAAUCACGAACGGGGCAAAAUUUGGUAAAAAGGGUAAUAAGCCAAAGAUUUAAAAGUCUUAAAUUUUUGUUAAUCCGGAUGUCGGAUUUUAACUCCAUAUGAUGGAGAAUUAAAUUACGGACGCGUAGGAAAAAGAAUCGUGUAAAACGGAUUAAAAACGAGAGAGUUAUGUCCGUUUCGGUAAGAACUAAUGAAAAAUAGACGUGCAGAGUUGACACGGGCGGGUGACUUUUUGACACGGCCGGGUGGCUGGGUUGUGAAAAAUAUAUGUUAACUGACACGGCCGGGUGACUUUUUGACACGGCCGGGUGAAGGGGCUGAAAACAAAACAAAAAUAAUUUCUUGUUUUGUUACGUUAAGCACGGAACUUGUUUAUACUCGAUUAUUAAAGUGUCAAAACUAAUUAUUUACAUGGUUUUGAC